AAUCUGUUUAAGGAUUGUUCUGUUCUUCCCUUGGUCCUGGAUGGCGAGUUUUCAGAAGUCCUGACAAAAUACCCUGAACAAAGGUCAACGAGCACCUUCAUGUGGCUCACCCCAGCAGAGUGCGGAGUGCAGUACCUGUUUUGAUUGUACCUGGCAUCCCGAGGAUACCUGAGUGGAAGACAAGUUUUCUUCAGAACAGUAA
This is a long non-coding RNA of Ochotona curzoniae (black-lipped pika), 202 nucleotides long. RefSeq lists it as uncharacterized. The transcript is spliced from 3 exons. Lineage: Eukaryota; Metazoa; Chordata; Mammalia; Lagomorpha; Ochotonidae. The record is from RefSeq and is a predicted model, not a curated record.